Molecule: ribosomal RNA, 750 nt
Filed under: Xenoanthostomella sp. DSA-2023a
Lineage: Eukaryota; Fungi; Ascomycota; Sordariomycetes; Xylariales; Gyrothricaceae
Description: partial large subunit ribosomal RNA
Rfam family: Eukaryotic large subunit ribosomal RNA
Source: RNAcentral
AUCUGGCCUUGGUCCGAAUUGUAAUUUGUAGAGGACGCUUUUGGUGCGGUACCUUCCGAGUUCCCUGGAACGGGACGCCUUAGAGGGUGAGAGCCCCGUACGGUUGGAUACCUAGCCUCUGUAUAGCUCCUUCGACGAGUCGAGUAGUUUGGGAAUGCUGCUCUAAAUGGGAGGUAAAUUUCUUCUAAAGCUAAAUACCGGCCAGAGACCGAUAGCGCACAAGUAGAGUGAUCGAAAGAUGAAAAGUACUUUGAAAAGAGGGUUAAAUAGCACGUGAAAUUGUUGAAAGGGAAGCGCUUAUGACCAGACCUUUGCCUGGCGGAUCAUCCGGUGUUUUCACCGGUGCACUUUGCCAGGUUGAGGCCAGCGUCGAUUUUCGGAGGGGGAUAAAGGCUUCGGGAAUGUGACUCCUUCGGGAGUGUUAUAGCCCGUUGUGUAAUACCCUUCCGGGGAUCGAGGUUCGCGCUCUGCAAGGACGCUGGCAUAAUGGUCAUCAGUGACCCGUCUUGAAACACGGACCAAGGAGUCGAACAUUUGUGCGAGUGUUUGGGUGUUAAACCCUCACGCGUAAUGAAAGUGAACGGAGGUGAGAGCCCUGGUGCAUCAUCGACCGAUCCUGAUGUCUUCGGAUGGAUUUGAGUAAGAGCAUAACUGUUCGGACCCGAAAGAUGGUGAACUAUGCGUGGAUAGGGUGAAGCCAGAGGAAACUCUGGUGGAGGCUCGCAGCGGUUCUGACGUGCAAAUCGAUCG